GCUCCACGUGGUGGGAAGGCCCAGCCUGGGGCUCUCCUCUCCAAGCCCACCCUGGACUCCCACGGAAGCUCCACGGUAUCCUAGAGGUUGCCCACCACGCCUCCUCGCCCUUGGCCUCCAGAGAGCCUUUCAUCACCUGGCCAACACCUACUCUUCCUUCAGAGCUCAGCUCAAAGCCACUUCCUCCUGGAAGCCCCCCUUAUCCAUUCACAAUCCUGCAAGCGACCACCCUGUUCAUCCAGCCUCUUCCCCAACACCCUCCAUGCCCGGUGCUCAGCACACGGCCGGACCCUGGGAACUGGCCUCAAAGGGUCCCAGGUUUCACAAAUGAGGAAACGGAGGCUCAAAGAGGCUAAGGACUCCCCUGGAACAAUGUGGCCUCAAACGAGACAAGGUUACCAGCCCCGAGUGCGGGCAGGCAGCGGGCAGCCCCUGUGCUCGCCACGCCGGCCGUUCCCGCAGCUCCCGCAGGCCCGGUGCGGCCCAGCACCCAAGCGCCGGCAGCCUGCGCUUCCUGCAGGGAGCCUGGGCCGGCCCUGGGCCAUCUCCCCGGCCCCGGGACAGCAUGGCCAGGGGCCUGGGAGGGCUGGAGGAACCGCACUGCCCACCCGCUCACGUUACUGCUACCUCUUCCUCCGAGAAGCCACCUUUGCCUCGGAGCCUGGCUGUACCGCCGUACUGACCACCAACAUGCCAGGCCCGACCCCGUCAGCCCAACUGGGGCGAAGCUUCGCAAGAGACCGAGGGGAGACCACGGGCCCAGCCUGCCCUGUCCUCUGACUCCUCUAGACUUGGGGUGCUGGGGAAAGAGACCCCUCUCCCCAGCAAUCCCAAGUCAGGCGGCCCUGACCAGCGGCCGCUGAGGAAGGGGGUCAGCACGGGCGGGAGGUGGGGCAGUUACUUCCCCCCGCCCCCGAGCUUCAGGGUUCUCUGCAAGCAAGGGUUGUGGCCCCUGCCUCCAGAGAGCCUGCGGGAGAAGUGGAGCCUCUGUAAACAGCGCUGACCAGGGCCUGGCCUGACGAACCUCUCCCGAGUAUCAGUUCUCACCACAGCCCGCGAGGGCCAGAGGAAGAGCCAGGCUCAGAACGAAGCCGCAUCCAGCCAAGGUCAUCCAGUGGCUGGAGGAGCAAGCAAGGGUGCUUUAGGGAACCCAGCAGCAUGAGUAGAGGAGCCCCGGCCUCCCAGGAUGGCCCUGGGUGCCCCUUUCCCAGCAGCUCAACGGGCCUAUGUCCACCUGCUCCCAUACAAG
This is a long non-coding RNA of Ailuropoda melanoleuca (giant panda), 1249 nucleotides long. RefSeq lists it as uncharacterized. The record is from RefSeq and is a predicted model, not a curated record. The transcript is spliced from 3 exons. NCBI's taxonomy places the organism in Eukaryota, Metazoa, Chordata, Mammalia, Carnivora, Ursidae.